GACGAACGCUGGCGGCGUGCUUAACACAUGCAAGUCGAACGGAAAGGCCCUGCUUUUGUGGGGUGCUCGAGUGGCGAACGGGUGAGUAACACGUGAGUAACCUGCCCUUGACUUUGGGAUAACUUCAGGAAACUGGGGCUAAUACCGGAUAGGAGCUCCUGCUGCAUGGUGGGGGUUGGAAAGUUUCGGCGGUUGGGGAUGGACUCGCGGCUUAUCAGCUUGUUGGUGGGGUAGUGGCUUACCAAGGCUUUGACGGGUAGCCGGCCUGAGAGGGUGACCGGCCACAGUGGGACGGAGAUACGGCCCAGACGCCUAAGGGAGGCAGCAGUGGGGAAUAUGGCACAAUGGGCGGAAGCCGGAGGCAGCAACGCCGCGUGCGGGAGGACGGCCUUCGGGUGGGAAACCGCGUUAGCAUGUGACGAAGCGUGAGUGACGGUAAUGGGUAAAGAAGCACCGGCUAACUACGU
RNAcentral lists this ribosomal RNA (467 nucleotides) under uncultured bacterium. RNAcentral's name for it is "partial 16S ribosomal RNA". It matches the Rfam family "Bacterial small subunit ribosomal RNA", at positions 28 to 506 of the family's 1533-position model. The record is from RNAcentral.